This 74-nucleotide transfer RNA is filed under the name Phycisphaerales bacterium. RNAcentral's name for it is "tRNA-Glu". It matches the Rfam family "tRNA". From Rfam's summary of the family: Transfer RNA (tRNA) molecules are approximately 80 nucleotides in length. Their secondary structure includes four short double-helical elements and three loops (D, anti-codon, and T loops). Lineage: Bacteria; Pseudomonadati; Planctomycetota; Phycisphaerae; Phycisphaerales. The record is from RNAcentral.
GGCCCCAUCGUCUAGCCUGGUCAGGACACCAGGUUCUCAUCCUGGGAACGCGGGUUCAAAUCCCGCUGGGGUCA